Dromaius novaehollandiae (emu) is the source of this 16440-nucleotide long non-coding RNA. RefSeq lists it as uncharacterized. Lineage: Eukaryota; Metazoa; Chordata; Aves; Casuariiformes; Dromaiidae. The record is from RefSeq and is a predicted model, not a curated record. The transcript has 12 exons.
AUUGGGGCUGGGUAUGGAGUUGAUCCACACUGGGACUGGGGCUUUGCUAUAAUGUUACGUUUGCUGUUUUUUCUUCACUUUCCUUUGUGGUGGCCUCCAAUAUAGGUAACUCCAUCUUCUCCAUGGUGAAGACAGAUGAAAAGAAUUCAUCUAGUGCUGCCGUAUAUCUUCCUAACUGGUUUGUCAGCCUUAAGCAAGCAAGCAGACAGCAUUUUUAGCUCUCUUGAUCCUGGAAGAAGACAACAUCCCUUGAAAAUAUGAAGCCUCGAGGGUCCAAAUGAGAAAACAGAUGAAAAAACCUCCAAAUACUUUUGGUUGUCUUUCUCUAAGGAGGGAGUAAGUGAAUCACCCGUGAAGUCUAGGAGAGAGUGCCCAAGAGUGGGACCAGGCGCACUGGAGUCCGGAAGAGAUUUCUGCUGCUGAUCAGAUGGGAGACCACUCUCGUGGAUGGAUCACGCAUCCCUCAGAACUGGAUCUUCUUCAAAGCCGGGCAAAAUGAAGGAAAGUGAAGUUGUUGACCUCUGCUUGCUUUGGAUCUGGCCUGUAGUGAGAGCUAUACCCACACCAAGCUUCAGAUUUCAAGCAAUUUGAUGUGGCCUUUUACAGAGAAAAAAAUGGUUGGAACUUUUAUUACAGCAGAGACCAAAUCUGAGAAGUUGCAGCCCAAUUUUGGAAAGUUCUCAGGAUGUGCAAACAGGAGCUCCUGAUGGGAAGUUGCUGUUCAACACACUUUGUUGUCGUGAGUGCUUCUGGGAAGCCACUACAAACCAGGCAAGAGAGCCGCGGAAGUGCCGUUCCUUAUGUUUCAGUGGCCGUUUUCUAAUCCGGCGGUCUGAUGUGGUAGCCGCCCUUAGGGAUUUAAAAUGAGUCCAGCUUGAAUGCUCCCUUCGUUUCACAUGGAUCAGGUUGGGUGAUCAGAGGAGCUCUCGCAACACGCACCAGGAUCCAGGAGUCCUAUGUUCACCCUAUCCAAAGGAUCAGGUUGACUUUCACCCUGGAAAAAAUGUCUGGUCUGCUCUAGUCAUUCAGGAUUCCAGAUAUGUCUGUUUUUUUCUGCUCUUAGUUCAAGAUACCAAGAAGGAAGCUAUUAGCAGAAAGACAUUCUGAGCAUAACCUGAAAAUGAAGUCCUUACAGAUGUCCCCACUUUGGAUGUAAAACAGUGAAUCCACUAAUAUCACUAACAAGUUUUGAAAAUUCAGACCAGAGCGUUUUGCUGAGCAUCUGAAAAGACUUUCCUUCCAAGAACAAGUACUGUCAGUGAUGCUUUGGGUAACCGCUACAAGGAUUACGCACGUGAUAUUUGUUAGAUGAUGGUGUGUAUCUAUUUAGUUUACAAAGUGGUGUUUUUUGGCAUAAAAACGCAUGCGUCAUUACAGCUGUAAAGCCUCGCAAAACCUCAGGGUUACAGUUCUCAACAGCAACGUUUUUGGCGUUCGAAAGGAUGGGUCAGAACUGCAAAGUGUCCCAAGAUCCAAAAUUUUCACCACAGAUGAGUGGGUUGUGCUCUAGAUAUUUUGCUUGGCCCCGCUUGUGAAACAUAGGUUCACAGAUGCAGAGCCCUGUAUCCCAGCACUGCGGAGGACAGGGGUUUGUAAAGAAAUGAUACUGGCUCGUGGGCGUCUGCAGGGUCUUGUUGGAAGGGUCAGGGCUUUCCGCCUUCCCCUUUCUGACUACUCCUGAUGGAGACUCAUUGUCGAAGUCCUCACUUUUGGUGGGAGCGAGGCCGAAGGGGGCAUAUGGUGCAGAGGCAGCAGAAGAAGGACUGUCGGAGUGGCCCCUAGAUUUAGCAGGCCAUCAAGAUCGCAGCACAUCUACGUGCAGCUUCUCAGGAUGCCCAGAUCAGGAGACAAAGGAAAGUGAGUAAAUUUGGAUGACUCACCGAGGUGGGACAGGAUGGAGAGGCUAAUCCCUGUCAGCUCCUAAAGAGUACAAAGAGGCACAUCCAAAACAAGCACAUCAUCACCAAGCUUGGAAGAAUCCAGGAGACGUGAGUAGACCUCGAUAGCUGGCGUCUCUCAUCCUCCGCGUCCCUGCGAGGAAUCCUGGGCUGGCCACCUGGAGACGAGCGUCCUGGUGCCUGCUGCUGGACCGGCUGCCUGCACACAUCUCGAUGCCUACGAACUCCAAGGCCUCCCGGGCUUUGCGGUCAAAGCUGCGUUGGACUCUUCUGCAGGGGAGGAAAGGGAAGUAGUAAGGGUGUCCCCAAACACACCAAAGACUUGGGUGACUGAGGCAGAGCCUUCUGGAAACAAUACUGCUGGGUUCCCACAGAAGUAGCAAGAGGGCAAAAGAAAAAUCCCUUUUGGCUCCCUCACAGCAGCUUUAUACCCUUUUUUGUUUGUUUUUUCUGAAUGGGAGGUUGGGCCUGAACACCCUCCUCAAAGUGCCUUUGACAUUUGGAGACCUUUGAGCCUAGAUCCACAGGGACAGGUCACAGCUCUGCCCAGCCCUCCUGUUUCUCCCUCGUGACUCUUGCAAGACUGGAGGAGAGAGAAAGUAUGGCGUUAGAAAGCAGAAGCUAAUUCCUUCCUUCACCAGAUGCUUCCCAUGUGGCGAAGUCAUUCAGCUUCUCUUUCUCGUUUGUACCUCUGUUCCCUGCCUGUAAAAGCAGCAGGAGCCAUGUGGGGCUCGUAUAUUAGCAACGUGGGAUGUGCAGCUAUUUCAUAAAUGAUGGAUCUGUAGAAAUACCCAGAAAAAAGGAAGCCAGAAUUUUCCAGAAAUGACAGGCUUUGCCAUGGACUUCAAGUCCAAUAUUGUUUUACAAGCAAACAAGCCAUUGCUGUCCAAAUGCUCUCCUCAUACCAGCAGAAAUGAGGUCUCAGAGAAAAACUUGUUUUUGCAAGCCUUGUAUUUUGAUACCUUCAGUUCAUGAAACGAACCAGAAAAAGCACCCAGUGAUAGUUAAUUUUAAGAAGCGCAUGAACAUAGAGUUAACUGGCCUUGUCUGCAGUGGUCAAGUGCAUUUGUCUUGCAAUUUUGCUUGAGCUAAGGGACAGCCAAUUUGCUUUGCUCUGCACCUCGCGUGCUGGGGUUGUUCUCUCUGACAGAGCCUCAAAGUGCUCUUAGGAGGCCAGGGCUGUUAAUAAUAAAUGGUAUUCUUCCUCAAGCCUCGUUCUGUAAUUCCCAGGAAGCCAGCAGUCCCUUCUACCCCAGCUUGGAUGCUGUUACACAUCUCAGUAUGAAAUACAGCCACAUUCCUUAGCUCUAAUUCUUUACAGUCACGUGGAAAGGAUGCCGAGUGAGAUUGCACAACUAAUUUCAAAGCUGGCAAGUACAACUUGAUGGUGCGAGACACAGCUCUAUCUCCACAUCGGGAAAGGGAUGGGGAGAUGGUAAUGUUGUACAGCGCACCUGUGCAGCAGCUCUUUGCCAAGGUUUGCCAGAGCCCUCGUUUCAGUGAGAAAUGUCAGUUUGUGCUUUUCAUCAGCAAAUUCAAUUUCUGUUAAUUUUUCUAAAUGAAAGUGUUUUGAAAAAUGUUUUUUAAAAUAUCACAAGUUCUCACACCAACAUUUUCUGAAAGUCAAAUUCCUGUUCCCUUAUUUGGAGCAAUGUUGUCUGUAUUAUUUAAGUACAAAUAAUAAUGCAAGUAACUCUGCAGUAAGUUUUUAGGUAGCCCGAACUGCAGUAAAGUAUCCAGUGACAUGAGCCAUGUCUCCCAUUUUCUUUUUCUUUAGGUAGUUGACUCACAGAUGCUUUGAUACUUCAGCCUUUCAUCCAGAUGACGGGCAGAAAAAAAUCCAAAGUUUGAAGAAUUUUUGUUUGCCAGGCCAUUCUGCUCAUUUAUAGAGUGAAGAAUGGUACAGAACUGAUUGCUGGAUGUGAAGUCAAAGAAAAGCACAAUUUCUAUUCAUGUGAGUUCCAAAUCAAGUAAAAAGUGAUGGAGUCUCUAACUUUUGAUAAGUUCCCGUCCCCAUAUCUUGAUAUGACCAGAGCUGGAUGUUUUUCUGGAAGAUUGAGCAAAGCUCCUGGGCUCAGUGCUGGGCUAAUUGGCUGCAAUUGAAUGGCUUUGGAAUAUAGGAAGUCGUACCAGAUGUUCUCAUGGUUUCUUCUGGCCUUAAACCCUGUGAAUCUAUGAAUGAGUUUCUGAAUCUGUGAAAUCCCAAGUCCUAAGAAUACAAACAUAUGAGUAGAGUUAUAUUUCUGGCCUCCAGAUCAGAAGAAAGAUAUUAAAUGUGCAUUGUUGCGAUAAAUCAAAGAAGCAGCUAAAUCUGAGCAGUAAUAAAAGUUGACUGCAGAUCUUUGUGCAGAAAUUGGUCAUAUGUCAUGUCAGGACAAGGUUCAGGGAAGUGAUUUCUCAACAACUGAAAUGACUGCUUUUUGGAACAGCUCCUUCCAAGCCCUGUGGUGGAGAUCCUGCUCCGGACUUGGUCCUCAGUACCACACAGGAGCUCCUUUGACAAGGGAUGAUCAGUGCCUCACCGAACACUGUUGACCACAAAGUAGUUAAGAUGGGCAUCCCUGCAUGAAAACAAGCAGUGCGACAUUCAAGUUUAGAAAAAGGGGUUUUGUUUUGCUGGGUUUCUUUAAGGGGAAGCUCAUCAAAACUGAGGAAAUUAAAAUCUGUAGUCAGCAAGAAAGCUACAGAGCCAUGGUCUAAGCACAGUCACACCAAGCGUGUGUCCACCCACUCCCCUCCUCUCCUGCUUACCCCUGAAAAAAGGAAGAAGAAGAACAACCAAAGGAAUGAAGAAAUUAGGAUGCUUUCCUAUCACUUAAUGGCAUUUUUAAGUAACCUGAUUUGUUUCAGCAAGAAGCCUUGAACGUGCUGAAGGGAUAAAGCCGCAGAAUCGAAUUCAGGAGUCCCACUGCUCGGACAAUUUGCUGCUGAGCCCUGAGCAUCUUUGUUUCCCUCCCUCGCUGCCUCCUUCAGCCUCGUCUCCACAUCGGGAAGUCAUCGGGGCAGGCAGGAGUCAUUUCGGACCAUAUGCACCUCAUCAGCGCAACGCGUCGUGAUUUAGUGGGAGCCUGUCAGCGCUCCUGUGGGACGUGCCAUCAGCCACCGCGGUGCCAGACUCCCGCCUCCGCGCUGGAGGGUGUCAGAGCCUGGCUCGAGGAGGAGGUUUCGAUGGCCACUUUAACGCUGCUCGGGAAACCAAGCAAACCUCCCCCAGUAAAUGGAAACCUCGCCUAAAUGAAACGGACAGAAAAAAGCAUACGCUCACUAAAUUCUCCAGCGAAGCAUCCUUAUUAUAUAAUGCCGAGCUACACGCACCAUGUGAAGUACUGCAUUUCAUUUGCAGCAGGCCCGUUGAUAUGCUAGCGUCACCACCAAUGUCACGCAACGCUGGGCGAAGUAACAAGUAUGGCAAUAUCACCAAGCAAUACAUAAUGCCAAUGACAGUGGAACUAAUGCAGAGGCGAUCAUUCUUACAUUAUUCAACAUUUCCAAUUGCUUUCUGUUUUAAAUGACUAUAUGAUGUAAUAAUAUAUAAAUACUGUAAGGGAGCGUUUAUUUAUAGCCAUCCUCAGUGUUACCGGUGAAAGUAUUAAUGCAUUUUUCCCACGCUAUGCUCAUUGACUGCAGUGGAGCAAUCCAUUUUCAAGGGGCUGUGUCAAAAGAGUGUUUAAGCCAUUCCUCAGUCUCGGAAACAGGUGAAUGGUUAAUGUAGCAGCUUUUAAUACAGGAAUCAAAAACAGUGAGGGUGAAGAGAGGACAUGCCUCGAAUGGAAAAAGAGGGUUAAAGCCUCACAAAGCUUUAAAGCCUUACAAAGCCAGCAACUUCUGUUCAGCCUGGAGACUCCUUGGAGCAGUAGGAACUUGCGAUGCCAAGCUCCUGGUUAAGCUGUCGGAGUUGUAUGUGUCAGUGAGGGGGAAGCAAUCCACCUUGGGGCUGGGUCAAAUACAGGAGCAAAACUAUAGCAAAGGCUGGUUCUGGUCUCAGAAAUCUGGAGUGAGGCCAUUUGCAUGGUCAAGCUUUCUGACACCGUUGGCCUGGAUGGAACUGGCUUUCCUUUAUGAGCCAUCCUUGAGCUUCGUGAGCCAUCCUUGAGCUGCCCAUGGCAUCCUGAUGAUUCUUCUCUUCACUGAGGACCAGCUGGAGCUGCCCCCCUCCCAAGUCCCUGCUAUCCCUGCAGCUUUAUGCUGGCCCGGAAAGAGCUGCUUUUCAGAAAUUCAGCUGGUACCUGUAUUUCCCCCUUUUGGGGUAUAAGCUUUCCCUGCAUUUGCAUUUACUCACCCAUGCAGUCAUCACACUCUCCAUAUCAUGGCUCUCCAUUAAUGGCUCUUCAAGCAGGGACACCAUGGGGAGGCUCGUCAGGAAAAUGUCAGAACGUCUCCACCCGGUUUAGGGCUGCCCCAUCCAUCUCUCUUACAAUUUACCUCUCCGAGAGCGUCCAAAUCCCGUGCAUCCGUGGGGGUUGUAGCAUGAGGUGGAGCAGGAGAUGGGGCAUCCCCUUUCUGCUCAGACGUGACAGCGGGAGUGGAGGCACCGUCUUGCCCAGCAUUGGCAUGCAGCGAGGAAGCGAAGGAACCUGCCUGUUUCACAACAACUGGAGCUGCACUGUAAACAGCCUUCAUCACACACGGAGGUCCACUUAGAGCAGGGCGAACACCAGAAAAAUAGUAUUUACAAGUACUCCCUCAAAUAAAAACCAUGAGUUUGCUUUGGCAGCAGCACUCAUCCUCCUAAUGAUUGCUUCUGGCAAAUGAUUAGGCAGGUACAACAAUAUUUACUGAAAUAUUCAUGGGACGGGGACGUGUUGCAGAUACGUGUGUAAAUACGAGCUGACUGAUGAGCACUUGUGCAAAACUGUAUUCGUGAGAGUGUUGCGGAGAGGGGUUUGCAUAACUGUUUUGAAGGCUGGUUGUGGGUUUGGGACUCCUUGAAUCAAAGCAGAGAAACUCCGCCACGCGUUGGAGGUAAACAGUGGCACACACACGAGCUCACAAAGAGAGCACAAAUGAAAAAAAAACGGGCAAAUAACAAAUACUUGAAUGGCAGUCAGGCUGCGUAGCUUACAAGCAACCCAAAGACUGCGAAACGGCCGCAGAAACCAUUCACGUAAUAACUGAAUGUCAAGCAGAUUUGCAGAGCUCCUGCAGCAUUUGCAAAUAGAGGCCCAAGUUCAGCGCAAUUCACUUGGAGCGAUUCAUAUGAUCAGAAUUAGGCAAGUGUGUAAAUAUCUGCCUGAAACGAGGCCAGGCGAGGGGACUGCAGUUGCCUGCUUAAUUGAGUUUUGUGCGUAGUUGUCCAGCUCUGUUUCCUCAGGGAUCGAAGCAUGAGGCAGAUGAUUGACUUGUACUGAAAGAAUUAAGGAUCGGUAUUGCGUGAAGAGGAACGGCAGCCGGCGAGCUGGAUUUUCUGAGAGGCCAGUGUUUACAGUUAAAAAUACCACUUGGCAGAAGUACAAUCAGGAGUGAGGAACACGUACCACAAACAAAACCAUUAAGACUAUUUAAAAACUUUUUGCAAAAGACAAUCAAGUGUUACGGGACUAAUUUCCCACUUGGUCACCAUGGUCUUAUGUCAACAUUAACGCCAUUGACUUGAGCCGAGCCCUGCAGGCGCAAAACUGGUGUGAUGGGGUGGAAAACUGGCCCGGUUUAUGAUUCUGUAUAUCGUAUUAUUUAAAAGACAAAGAACCUAAUCCCAGGCGUGUUUAAGUACCCUGAAGUCUCCGAAUCCAGUCCUUUUCCCACUGAAAUCAAAGGCAGAGCUUCUGCGUACUGCGAUGGGCUAAAAUCAGGUAUCCAUUAGCUGUCGCUGGGAAGGGAUGGCCACCAGCAAUGUGGCCAUUCAGCUGGAUAAGUGGUUUAUAAUGGGAUGAGCACUUUGGGAGAGGGAGAGAUGACUGGGGAGGAAGCCGUGUCUUUCUCACCGCACGUCAUUUCCAAGCCACUAUUAGUUUCUUAUUUAUCUAAUUACUUAAUGUUUCCCUAUUCUUAGAACAAUAUUUAAAUUAUUCCUGGCAGACUGGUAGCUGUUUUAGAAGCACCUAAACCAGUCCAUGUAAAUCUUUUUUGUGUUUAUGCAUAUGUAUAUAUAUAGAGAGAGUUGUGUAUAAAGAAAAAGAUAGAAGGUGAUUUUUACCUGGCUGAGCAUUUUUUUUUUCAUUUUUAGCCCUUUUAGAAGAGCAGUUGUAUUAGAGACGUUGCGUUGGCUGCCAGGAUGAGUGAAACAGUUUGGGAGAAGAAAAAGUUUGUGAAUAUUUCAGAGUAAUUACUAACAGUUAGUCCCAGAACCAGAAAAAAAAAAGGAAAGAAAAAGAGAGAACAGCUUUCGCCUGUUCCUGAUUUCCUUUUUCGUUACAGGGGCCAUUGUUUGUUUUAAUGACAGGAAAAGAGAGCUGUCAGAAGACAUUUGCAUAGUGCAAAUAGGGUCACAAAUCAGGGGGAAUGUGUAGAUUAUUUGGUAGUGAGCGGGCAGUGAUUGGUGUGUCGCCGUAAGGAAAAAGUGCUUCCUGCAGUAUGGUGAAAAUCCGGGAUUUUCUCCACGUGCGGUGGAAGACUCGAGCAAAAUUUCAGGGGCAAAAGCGCCCUUGUUUCCUACUUGCGGCAGGGUUUGAAAUGAUCUCAUGCGAGCGUUGCUGUUUGUUUAUUUUCGUAGCUGCGUGCUUAAGAUGCAUUCUUUGAAAAUGUAGCUGAUACGUCUGUUUGUAUAGACUGCACUGCUGGUGAGUUAGAGCAGGGGUUUGUGUUCAUUUGGGAAAAGAGAAGGAAUCCUGGCCAUCAGAAAUGUUUACUAUAUCAGGAAAUGAAUUCACUACUUGAGGGUUCCAGUGGAUAUAAAACAAAAAUUAAAACAAGAGCCUUGUGUAAACCCACUUUGUAUUGUCUCCUCCAUAAACAGCCCCAUACGUGACAAAGCUCAGCGCGAGCGGGAGAGGUAGUUUUAUUGGGGCAUGUGGAGGGAAGUUAAUUGCCGUUGUUUUGAUUUUUUUUGCACAUGUUGGUAAGUCCGAAGCAAAAUCUGGUCUUCUUUCCUCUUCCCCCGGUUCCAAGGAGAGCUGAGCCUUCGCUGAGAAAUAACACUAGGCAAAAUGACUUCAAGCUGUCACCAUUACACAACCUAAACUUUAUUUCUUCAUUAAUGCAUUACAGAGCGAAAAAACAAUGAGAGCAUUCCUCUGGAAUGUGUGUUUACUGAGCACAAAACGAUAUGUUUACUGAAAUAGCAGUUGCUGCCGGGUUACCCAGUGGGAGAGAGCUUUCUCUUUCCACACCGGCCUGAUACCCCGGUGUCCCGGCGCGCCGGAGCUUCCCCCGCCGGCCCCGCUGGCCGGGGCAAGGUCGGCGUCUCCUGGGCCACGGGCUCGGAGGGACCGCGGCGGCCGCACCGUGCGACCGGGGCUCCGCUCGCGGCCCCGGGACGUCUGUGAGGACCUGCCAGAGCCCUCGAGGAAAAGGGAGAUUGGAGGCGUCCUUUCGCGGGAAAAAGCAUGAGUCGGAGGAGCGAGGUCUCGGCUGGCGAUGUGCAGCGCGGGUGGAGCAUGUGCAUGGGAGCGAGCGCCGCGUGGGGCGAUCCAUGGACCGGCCACCAGCCAGGAACCACCAAGAAGACUCCAGUUGAAGGGCAACCAACUCCUGGUGCCGCGGCCAAAGCCCGCAGGACGGGAAUGGUACCUCCCAGACCCCAUUCCCCAUCCUUAGCCCUCAAGAUUGGUGGUUUAACACAAGCCUUCGCGGCGAUGGUGGCAGAGGACUGGCACGGGGGCAUUGCUCCUGGAGACACCACGCCAGCAAGGACAACGCUGAGAGCCACCACUCAGGGAGGAGUAGCUGAAGGAACAAGGGUGGGAGGGCAGCGGAUGGCCUUUGCGGGCACAGUAAGGAAAACAUAAUUCCUGAUGGCCUAGAUGCGAUGGGUGUGCUACAAGCGCCCCAAAAGGGAAACAGCCCAGCCAGGGAAGAAAGGGCAGGGAGUCAGGUAGACAAAGCAAAAUAAAAUUAAAGAAGCCUUCUUCUCUGUCCCACAAAUCAAAGCAACGGUGCACGUGUGUGCAUGCAGGUGCGCACUCACACAUUUAUGUGUACAUACAGCUACACACCCAAUCUCAUAAAUUCCAAGGAAACAAAGGGUUUUCUCUUUUUUUCUCAUUAUUCCACUACAAUUCAGGCAGCAAAAACAAAAAUUAAGACGCCUUUGCUCAGUACAACUGCCAAGCAGACAUCAGGUUGGCUGCAACAUUAUUUAGUGUGGAUAUGGCUCUCCAGUGAUUCACAACCCGCCCAGUCAGAGCGGGGUUUAUCAGUGCCCCAACCAACAUAAACACAGCGGCGGUGUUUUCUGUUCGUUCCUUUUUCUUUAAAGAAAAAUAUACACACACACACCAAGGGAAAACAAAACCAGAGAGUGCUUUCUAACCUGGUACAGCAUAUUACACUAAUUAAUUAGGAUGCUGUUACUCAUGCAUCAUUCACAAUCCUGCCAAAACUGGGAACAAACAGUCCCUGCAAUCCGGGCAGGACUGUCUGAGCUGAACUUUGCAGAGCUCUCGAAUCCGAACAGCCCAAACAGGAAGCGCUCAUCCCCACCGCGAGCUCCCCGCGGCUCCCAAACGCUGCAGCACUGGCGGAGGAGCGGGCCGGGGCCGCUCGCGCGCUCGGAGAAGAGCUACCUGCCCCGCAAGAGGCAGCACGGUCCUUGCGCACGUGUUCGUGCAGCAGCGGCACCGUGGGAGGUGGGCCUAGUGGUGGGACACUGGUGGAGGGAGAAGGUCCUCUGCCACAGGGCUUCCAGCAGAGCAUAGGACUUUAUACCAAAGCAGAAUUCCCCAUGGGUAGAGAAAUGGGUUUGGGUUUAGCUCCAGUGCACCGCCCCGUGCAGGACAUGGGAGCCGGCGCGGGCAGUCCUGCUCUCCUGAUGAUUUUCAUGGCCGGGACGAAGAUCUGGAGUCGAUGGGCAGAAAGGCUCUGGCCACGUUCAUGGUGUUGCACACGUUGUUGGGGACGCCCAGGUUUGUAACACGGUAGACUUCUCACCCAAGUUCUGCAACGAGGAAACAAGCCUCUUCCCGCUUCAGGGGACCAGAGCUGUGGGGCAGGUUUGGCCCGUCUGCGCUGGGAGAGGUGUAUUUUUAUCUCCGAGAGCAUUAUGCCCCUGCUGAUGCCUUUGCUGAGAUGUGAUUCUUUUGCUGAUGUCAGGUCAGGAACAGCGAGCACAGAAAUAUUGUCACCCAAGUUGUGGUGCUGAAAGCUCCUUCUUGUCAGCGUGCUGAUACAAAUAACCAUAUAGAUACCCAAACAUGCUCCUGAAGUUUCUCGGGUUACGCAAGAGCCUUUCUGGCCUCCCAGCUGCUGGAAGAGUGUGGCGCUCUCGGCUUUCUCGUGUCUCUUUGAAGCAAAUCCUUGCCCCGUGGACUGGAAAAUGAUAUUAAGGGUAGGCAAGAGGCGAGGUGGCCUGCUGAGCACGAGCUUCCCGUAUGAAUUCCGGUAACUUUUCGAGCAAGGAUGUCUGUUUUGCUUUCCUUUGAAGUGGUGAGAUGCUGGUAGGGCGAUGAAGGUGAUUUGCAAGCCUGCACGCCCCAACAGCAGCACAAAGCUGGGGUGUCAAGGGCUGCUCUGACGCACGUCACCUCCGCGAAGCUGUGCGCAUCCUCAAGGCCACCGGGAGCUAUGUCCCUUCACGCAUGAUGGAGCACCAGCUCCUGGUCCCGGGCAGUCGCGGCUGUGUGGCGGCCGUGACCACUCGGGUGAACGCCUUUGAUGGAUGGACACGCUCCCGCUUCCCUUCUGCACGGACCAGAUAGCUCCAAGCCAAGGCCGUUACUCAGCGGCUCAUCAGGUGUGAAGCUGCGUCCUUUGCACCCGCUGCUGGCAGGGAGAUAACUGUUGGAAGGAAGCCGAAGCCAAAAGGGCUGUGGCGUUUGGCCAAGUCCGCUGUCAGUUUUCAAGCUGAUUCCGCUGUUCCUCCCAUGGAGCAAAACAACCAUAUUUUUCAUUUUGCAAAGGACAAAGCUCAACGGGCCCUUUUUCCCCCCCCCCCCCCUUUUGCUAAGAAUUUGUUGAAUGAUGUUACAUUAUUCUUCUUGCUGUCAGGAAGCAGACUGACUCCCCUCCCAAGUAGGAAAGCUUGGCUACCAAGCAGUCGGGCUGCAUGGGGGGUUUUGGCCACUUAGGAGGCUACUGUCUUAGAUAGUGGCCUAUGAAUGUCCUUCAAACGCUUGGCUUGGAGGGCCUUUGAGCAGAAGUCUGCUAGUACGUCUCUAAUACAGCAUCUGUUUUGCUUUAUCCUUGCUGCGUUCAACACGGGGCGAACAGUACUCCUUGGGACGCGCAAUGUGUCCCUCCCUCCCAAGGCCCCAAUGUCUUGCCCUGCUAGAUGUCUGCUAGAUGUCUUCCAAGAAAACAUCCAUGUCUUCUAGGAAAACAGCUCUGCUUGGCCUCCUGGCAAGCGUGGGAGCCGCGCAGGAGCAGACUCGCUAACAAGAUUGCUUUCUGCAAGAGCAUCCUGAGGUUUUCUAAUAACAGGAAGCGGCGGCAGCCGCUGCUCUGCCUGCCCUCGGGUCCGGCGGCGCGCUUGCCGGGUGUGGCUGCCUCCCGUUUCGAGGAACACCAGUGUCACGCGGGGCCCCGUGCUCAGCUCGGUCCCUGUGCCGCGCGCUGCUGCCUGAGCCCGGCACCUAGCUGCUUCCCUCCGCUCGGUCCCGUCCGGCCAGCCGAAGGGAUCCAAGGCAGCCGCUGCGCAGAGAAGGAAAUCCAGGGGCACGGCUGCAGCGGGGAAGGUGCCUUUCCAGGGAGGAACAGUCCCGAACUGGCGUCUGGAGAGAAACCGUGCUGCGGCGAUAGAAGUGAUCCCUGAAGACUCCGUGUUUGGUGAGCACCGUAGCACACCGCACGUGGGAACAGCGCGUGCGGCGCUCAGCCCCCUCUCCAGCGGCUUGCUCCUGGGCGCCGAGCUCCUUUGCUGCCAGGCCACGAUCCCACGCGUGGGAAACCCUCUGCGGCUCCUGUGUUCCCACCGGCUGCCAAGCUGGGAUGGCGUUCCUUUUUCCGUGGGCAACGCGAGUGACAGCAGUUACAGGUGUUUGGGGCUGCUCUGAGAGAAGCUCUUGCUGACACACAGGAGACAAGUCACGUUGCUUCUCAAACCCCGCGAGGAGAGAGAGGCCGCGGACCGAAGGCCUGGUUUAUUCCAGGAACAUCUCGUUCCCCAGGAAAAACACCUCCUUCUCAACGGAGCUUCAGGGUCCUGGGAGGACCUUAUGUGCCGCAAGCUUUAAAAGGGAGCGCGAGCCUUCCUGGGAGUUCCCGGGCGGAGGAGAAAGGGAGGCGUUGGUGGGUUUUUGUCCCCGUGUCACCCGUGCUGGGAUGCCAGUUUCUGCAAAUGGCAGGGUGAUACUCGCGUCUUCUGCAAAUGCUGUUACCUGGGGGCAUCGCCUGUUCCCUGGAGCCUCUCGCCUGUGUUUUCCAGCCAGCACAGCUCAAGCUCAAGGCACCUGCAGUAGGAAACCUGGCACCAGGCUGGCUCAGAGGGACCGGAGUACCGGGGCCGGAGCUCCUGCUAACCCUGCACCCUUGAGAUAUUUCUGACAGCUAAAUAUAUAGCUAUCUACAGCUAUAAAUUAAACAGGGAUUAGGAACUGUUCACGUGGGGUGCAGUACCUGGGGUCUGCCGGCCGUUUGCAGCCCCGUUCAGCAGCUCACUCUAAAAAUUACUGCUUAAAUACGUCAUAGCUUAAAUACAUCAACUCAAAUGCACAUUUACAUCAGUAUAAAUCUACCGCUGAAGACUUGGUGAAAAGGGCACCCCUCUUCCUUUAUCCUGAUGCUUUUUGUGGAAGUAUCACCAUGUUUCUAGUUGGUUAGGGCACAGUCUAGAAGGGAAUAAGCCUUUAUGUGCUUCAUUAUUUUCAGAUAAAAAAGAAAAUCUCUUAGGGAUGUUUGAAAACAGAAAGGUUUUGAUAAUGUCUAAAACCAAAUGACAUGAAUUUUGAUAAUUUGUCAGCACUUGCAACUAGAAAUGCUAAUUCUGAUUUUUGGGAGCCGUUACUCGAUAUACACCUCUAAAGCAAAUGAAGUAAGUAUUCCUUUACAUGUAGUUACUCUGUUCAUUUCCUAUAUAAUGCCACAAAAUAGGGCCUAGAUAGACCCGCAUUUGAUCUUGUAGCUUCUGCUACAAGCGUUUUUACGUUUCCUUACUUGCCAGCGAAAGCUUCAACCUUAUCAGUGACGUUUCAUAUCAUCAGCCUCGAAGACCCAGAAACAUUGACGCAAGUGCCUAUGCAUUCAGAGCUGCAAGCAGCAUUCGGUGAGCUAAAAUACUUCUUUAUGAUAGUCUUAAAACCAAAAUUACCUGGCCUAGUAUGUGCUGGAAUUUAUGGUAGCGCAUUAAAGCUACGACAAACAACCUCUGACAAAUAAUUUGGCCGUAACUCUCGAGAACCCGCUGUGGCAAUGCAGUGGAAGUGGCAAGGGAUGCUGUUCAGCGGUGUGCGUUGCUUUUCAGUGCCAGACUUCGGAUUUUGAUUUCGACAGCCAGAAUGGUCUUAACCUACUUUAUCCAUUCUCUCUGAAAAAAAAAAGCUGUUGUUUUUUCCAGAAACUCUCUUGAUUUUAUAAAAUGUUUGAAACUUGAGAAGAGACUGGCUGUGCUUUGUCUCCAUGAGAACUGCUUCGUCCUGAUAGAUUUAGUAGAGCAUGUGUCUGUGCUCCAUGAAUCUUCCCCUAAGAAACUGCCGAAUGUAUUGUUUCCAAAUACUAAUUCUCUCAACUUCUUCAAAUCCCUUGGCACUUAUUAUAUUCAUUCCUCGCAAGCAGUAGUGAAAACAAAUGUUCUUUGUGUAAACAGACUUUGACAGAAUGUGGGAACCUAAAUAAAUAUGGUUAUAAUAUGAUAUAAAAAUCAACUUCAAAUUUGAAGGAAACGUAAAUUGCACAUGUAGAGUUCAUUCAAUGUCAAAAACCCAAACAUAUUCUGAAAGGUGUUAAAACGGGUAAAUCUCAACUGCAAUAAUACUCUGAAGCUUAUGAUAACUGCAUCACAUGUUUGAAGGCAGUAGAACUGCAUAAAUAUGCAAUGUUAAAUAAAACAGUUUCUCCAAAAUGUCCUUUCACAUAAAACACGAUCUCCUAUCUGUUGUUUCCCUCCAAGAAAAAUGAUGGUGCUGCCGGCACUGUUUCUCGCAGCCUGCCAGAGACGUGGGGUGUAGCUGUCCGUUCGAGUGGGCAAUGACGUCGUCGGACUGAUGGCAAUCAAGGAUGUUUUGAAAUAUUUAUGUGGCUUAGUUAAGUUCGAAGAAAGUACUUACUCCAGAAAACGCAACUGGCCACAAAGUGUUUCUGUGAGAUUGGAUACCUUGGGUGGUUUUCGGAGGGGGACAAGGCCAAAGGCCAAAAGAGCAAAACCACCCAAAAAGUGUAAUAAUUACCCUGCGGGGCAACGGCUGUAUGAAAUGGAACUUAUGAAUAAAGACGAGGAAAACCCAUUAAGUAAUAUUAUUGACAUGUGCCUGACAUCACUGAUAGCCAACCAGAGGUCUGCACUUGCACUCCAGAUUUCUGAAAUCAUUUCUUAAUGGAGCAAGAGUUUUUAAUUCAUAAUGUCUUUAUACAGAUGCUCGAGCGUGCAGGUUUGCCAGCCAUUCAUAUUUCCAGCUUGCGCGAUGCUAAUAAAUCCAAGAUUUAGCCGAAGCACAGUAGUAUUCCUCUGUUAUAUUAGUAUGUGAAUAAGUUUCACCAUCGUGCAAUAACAGGAAAUUGCCAUAUAUCAGCAUUUCUUAAGCACCUGUCCCCGACGGUGCCAAGCCACUCGCAGAAUUACAGGGGGAAGAAAUGAGAGAGACCAUUUUCCAUGCUAGGUGCAUUGCUACAGUGACAAAUACACCUUUCGAUUACAUAGUGCAAACAGACUUCGGUGCCAAUUCCAGAGGCGAAAUAAAGGCAAACAGGCUUCAGACGAUGCUGCAAGCCUGAAAAAUGUGUCUGGACCACAUAAGAAAGAAAGAAAGAGAGGAUUUGUAGCUCUGAGGUUUUUGAGUUGUAGGGCCUGGACUGCCGCUCUACUUCCAUGGUUUAAUAGCAAAGUGGUCUUAAAGAGAAGGAAAAUCGGAGCUGACAGAGGGUCACUUGAACAACAAAAUUGCUGAACAAAAGCUUGAUACCCAGUUAGCGGCAGGCAAGGCAGUAGUCGCAAAGCCAGGCAGUACCUCCCCUCCCUGAGCCCGUGCCUUUCCCCUGCACCCGCAUCGCCGCAUGGACACCCUUGCCAUCAGGUUGGAUGUGAAGGUGACACUUCUCUCGAGGAAGGUGCAUCAGCAAGGCACGCUCCCUGCCGCCUCGGCUUAGGGAGAAAAAGGGCUCCUCUCUUUUUUUAAGGUAUGGUGAGGUGUGAAGAUACCAGUUUCUCUAGAGAGCAGAACAUUUUGUUUAUUCAUUUGUGGGGAGGUAGCAGCUCCUCAUGAACUGGGCCCCAGGCUGACAGGUCCUGCGCACCUAGGAGGUCUUGGAACCGUAUCACGACCCACUCCAAAAUGCAGAUAUUAAACACAGCUAGAAGCCG